UGGGGAAUAUUGGACAAUGGGCGAAAGCCUGAUCCAGCCAUGCCGCGUGUGUGAAGAAGGCCUUUUGGUUGUAAAGCACUUUAAGCGAGGAGGAGGCUACUUGGAUUAAUACUCUAGGAUAGUGGACGUUACUCGCAGAAUAAGCACCGGCUAACUCUGUGCCAGCAGCCGCGGUGAUACAGAGGGUGCGAGCGUUAAUCGGAUUUACUGGGCGUAAAGCGUGCGUAGGCGGCUUCUUAAGUCGGAUGUGAAAUCCCUGAGCUUAACUUAGGAAUUGCAUUCGAUACUGGGAAGCUAGAGUAUGGGAGAGGAUGGUAGAAUUCCAGGUGUAGCGGUGAAAUGCGUAGAGAUCUGGAGGAAUACCGAUGGCGAAGGCAGCCAUCUGGCCUAAUACUGACGCUGAGGUACGAAAGCAUGGGGAGCAAACAGG
This 430-nucleotide ribosomal RNA is filed under the name Acidobacteriota bacterium. RNAcentral describes it as "Acidobacteria bacterium partial 16S ribosomal RNA". It matches the Rfam family "Bacterial small subunit ribosomal RNA", at positions 355 to 776 of the family's 1533-position model. The record is from RNAcentral. Lineage: Bacteria; Pseudomonadati; Acidobacteriota.